This 231-nucleotide ribosomal RNA is filed under the name Aeromonas salmonicida subsp. salmonicida. Its description in RNAcentral is "partial 16S ribosomal RNA". It matches the Rfam family "Bacterial small subunit ribosomal RNA", at positions 1 to 226 of the family's 1533-position model. The record is from RNAcentral. Lineage: Bacteria; Pseudomonadati; Pseudomonadota; Gammaproteobacteria; Aeromonadales; Aeromonadaceae.
AAAUUGAAGAGUUUGAUCAUGGCUCAGAUUGAACGCUGGCGGCAGGCCUAACACAUGCAAGUCGAGCGGCAGCGGGAAAGUAGCUUGCUACUUUUGCCGGCGAGCGGCGGACGGGUGAGUAAUGCCUGGGGAUCUGCCCAGUCGAGGGGGAUAACAGUUGGAAACGACUGCUAAUACCGCAUACGCCCUGCAGGGGAAAGGAGGGGACCUUCGGGCCUUUCGCGAUUGGAU